This 76-nucleotide transfer RNA is filed under the name Candidatus Shapirobacteria bacterium CG_4_9_14_3_um_filter_39_13. RNAcentral describes it as "tRNA-Arg". It matches the Rfam family "tRNA". Rfam says of the family: Transfer RNA (tRNA) molecules are approximately 80 nucleotides in length. Their secondary structure includes four short double-helical elements and three loops (D, anti-codon, and T loops). Further hydrogen bonds mediate the characteristic L-shaped molecular structure. tRNAs have two regions of fundamental functional importance: the anti-codon, which is responsible for specific mRNA codon recognition, and the 3' end, to which the tRNAs corresponding amino acid is attached (by aminoacyl-tRNA synthetases). tRNAs cope with the degeneracy of the genetic code in two manners: having more than one tRNA (with a specific anti-codon) for a particular amino acid; and 'wobble' base-pairing, i.e. permitting non-standard base-pairing at the 3rd anti-codon position. The record is from RNAcentral. Lineage: Bacteria; Candidatus Shapironibacteriota. RNAcentral also lists the same sequence under 2 other names.
GCCGCUGUAGCUUAACGGAUAAAGCAGGCCCGUCCUAAGGGCAAGAUUGGAGGUUCAAUUCCCCCCAGCGGCGCCG